GAGGGUGUGGCCAGCCUGGGGGAGGGGCUGAUGGCUGUUUGUAGGCUGGACAAGCCCCCCAGCGGGAACCCUCACCCAAGGAGGGUGUGGCCAGCCUGGGGGAGGGGCUGAUGGCUGUUUGUAGGCUGGACAAGCCCCCCAGCGGGAACCCUCACCCAAGGAGGGUGUGGCCAGCCUGGGUGAGGGGCUGAGGGCUGUUUUCA
Long non-coding RNA from Myotis davidii, 203 nucleotides. RefSeq lists it as uncharacterized. The record is from RefSeq and is a predicted model, not a curated record. The transcript is spliced from 3 exons. Lineage: Eukaryota; Metazoa; Chordata; Mammalia; Chiroptera; Vespertilionidae.